Limulus polyphemus (Atlantic horseshoe crab) is the source of this 179-nucleotide long non-coding RNA. RefSeq lists it as uncharacterized. NCBI's taxonomy places the organism in Eukaryota, Metazoa, Arthropoda, Merostomata, Xiphosura, Limulidae. The record is from RefSeq and is a predicted model, not a curated record. The transcript has 2 exons.
UUUUUUACAAGUUGGACCUCCGUACACAUUUCGACUUCGUGUCAAGUUUUAUUCUUCCGAACCAAAUAUUCUCCGAGAAGAACUUACAAGGUACUUGUUCUUCCUCCAGCUAAAGCAGGACAUUCUGUCGGGCAAAUUAACCUGUCCCUACCAGACCGCCGUUGAGUUGGCUGCCUAUG